RNAcentral lists this long non-coding RNA (1206 nucleotides) under Equus caballus (horse). RNAcentral describes it as "lncRNA (ENSECAG00000046743.1)". Lineage: Eukaryota; Metazoa; Chordata; Mammalia; Perissodactyla; Equidae. The record is from RNAcentral.
CACAUACACAUACAGUGUUCUGGAAAAGCAGCCGUGAAGUGUUACUAGAACUGAGGCCUCUUCUGGGAUGUUGCUAAGGAAAGUUCACAAUCUCGGGCUGCUAAUUAAAAUUACUUCUACUUAUUGCGCAUAAAUUAGGUCCUAAUAAGCUGCAGUUGGAUACAAAGAAAACAGCACUGACAGCAGAGAGAAAAUCAAAAUGGAAUCUUUCAUGUAAUUAGCAUACACAGUCCACACAGGGCACACAGAAGACGGGUGAGCGGUGGAGAGCGAAGUCUUUGCAGGCAUUGAAAGACAAGCCCCGCAGGCUUUUGAGCUCUGACCAGUCCAGAAGUGAAGGACAAGUGCCCAGGAGAGAUUAUGAUUUCAAGCCAGAAUGAUGUGAGUAUGAGAAGUUGAGGAUUAGUGUCAGAAGAACCAAAUUAAGUCAUAAUCAUUUAUACCUUUCAAAGGUUCCUCUUAAAACAUAACUUGAUGAAUGUGUUCAAGUUCCACUCUUAAUGAAAAUAAUUAUUUUUGGAUAGCUAGUGAGAGAGAGAGAGAGAUGCAGGAAGUCUGAAUAUAUCCAUGUGUUGGAUUUUCAAAAACGUCAGAGGCCCAGUGGGACUUCACGGAGAAGGCAAAUUCCGGGUUGCCAGUUCUUGGAAGUUGUCCUGUUCACCAGCAAGCCAGAGGGGAAACUUACUGGGCCGCCCCUCGAUGCCUUCCAGCACACGCCGGCCUCCUCGGAGGCGCCAAGGGUGUCCCGCCAGACCGCCUGCUGCGUGACAGGGAGGAGGGGCCAUCUGCCGCUUGCACAUCUGAGCAUUACAGCGUUUGAAUGAGGGCACGAUGACUUCCACAAACGCCGUGAAUGCUUCUUGUGUGAAGCAGCUGCUUUCACUUUGUUGAAAGGAAACCGUUUUUCAGCGUUCCAAUGUACUCGGCCAGAUUUUCGCCGGGAGGAUGAUGAGCCAAUGCUGGCUGUUUGUAAACCCUGCUUAUUAACCAGGGCUUCCAAACUCAGCAGCCCACGGGGUCAGGCCGGCCCUGGACAGGAGCGAAACUCUCUGGGCCGUGGGGCAGCCGCUGCUCCGCUACAGCCGCCCAUGCAGGGAUCCCCUCCCGGCUACACAGGGACCUGGGACCCCCUGAAAAGAAACGGGGGUUUUAUUUUUUUCCUUGGUUUAUUCUUAAUGACGCACUUUGGAAUCUUUACAAAAAAAG